AGGUUAAGAACUGAAGGUUCGGAGCCGAAGCGAAAGCGAGUCUGAACAGGGCGAUAGUUGCAUGACGUAGACCCGAAACCGGGUGACCUAUCCAUGAGCAGGUUGAAGUGGAGGUAAAGCUCCAUGGAGGACCGAACCAGACGUCUGUUGAAAAAGGCGGGGAUGACUUGUGGAUAGGGGAGAAAUUCCAAUCGAACCCGGAGAUAGCUGGUUCUCCUCGAAAUAGCUUUAGGGCUAGCCUCAUGGAUCAUUGGUGGGGGUAGAGCACUGAAUGUGCGCGGGGGCCACAAAGCCUACCAAACGCUAUCAAACUUCGAAUACCAUACAAUGUAGACCAUGGGAGUCAGUCCGCGAGAGAUAAGUUCCGCGGGCAAAAGGGGAACACCCCAGAUCAACCGCUAAGGUCCCCAAGUUCACGUUAAGUGGAGAAGGAUGUGGAAUUGCACAGACAACCAGGAUGUUGGCUCAGAAGCAGCCACACAUUUAAAGAGUGCGUAAUAGCUCACUGGUCGAGUGAUUGUGCGCCGAAGAUGUCCGGGGCUAAACGUGACACCGAAGCGAUGGGUGCAUCUGAAGAAGAUGCGCGGUAGAGGAGCAAUGUGCAGAGGCAGAAGCCGUAUCGAGAGGCACGGUGGACACUGCACAAGAGAGAAUGCCGGUAUGAGUAGCGAGAGGCAUGCGAGAAACAUGCCCGUCGAAAGCCCAAGGUUUCCUGGGGAAGGUUCAUCCGCCCAGGGUAAGUCGGGGCCUAAGCCGAGGACGGAAGUCGUAGGCGAUGGACAGCAGGUGUAGAUUCCUGCACUACCGAUGGAAUGAAGCAGUGACACAGAAGGAUAACUCGAGCAGGGUGAUGGUCAACCCUGUGCAAGCAUUGAGGUUGGGUUGUAGUGAAGUACGCAAUCCUAUAAGCUGAGAUGUGAUGCGGACCGAAAUUUCAGUAGGGAAGCGAGUGAGUUCACGCUGGCGAGAAAAGCUGCUAGUACAUCCAAAGGUACCCGUACCGGAAACCGACGCAGGUGGGCGAGGAGAGAAUCCUGAGACGAACGGGAGAACCCUUGUUAAGGAACUCGGCAAAAUGACCCCGUAACUUCGGGAUAAGGGGUGCCUGCGAGAGCAGGCCGCAGAGAAUAGUCACAAGCGACUGUUUAGCAAAAACACAGGUAUCUGCGAAAGCGAGAGCUGACGUAUAGGUGCUGACACCUGCCCGGUGCUGGAAGGUUAAGGGAACAUGUUAGAGCAAUCGAAGCAUCGAACCGAAGCCCCAGUAAACGGCGGCCGUAACUAUAACGGUCCUAAGGUAGCGAAAUUCCUUGUCGGGUAAGUUCCGACCCGCACGAAUGGUGUAACGACUUGUGAGCUGUCUCAACAGGGGGCCCGGUGAAAUUGAAGUAUGGGUGAAGAUGCCCAUUACCCGCGACUGGACGGAAAGACCCCGUAGAGCUUUACUGCAGCCUGAUAUUGAGUUUCGGUAACUGAUGCACAGGAUAGGUGGGAGUCUGAGAGACAUGGGUUUCGGCUCAUGAGGAGACGAUGUUGGGAUACCACUCUUCGGUUACUGAAAUUCUAACAUAGCUCUGUGAAACCAGAGGAUGGACAGUGUCAGGUGGACAGUUUGACUGGGGCGGUCGCCUCCGAAAGAGUAACGGAGGCGCCCAAAGGUACCCUCAGAAUGGAUGGAAACCAUUCGAAGAGCGCAAAGGCAGAAGGGUGCCUGACUGCGAGAUUGACAAAUCGAGCAGAGACGAAAGUCGGGCUUAGUGAUCCGGCGGUAUUGAGUGGAAAAGCCGUCGCUUAACGGAUAAAAGCUACCUCGGGGAUAACAGGCUGAUCUCCCCCAAGAGUCCACAUCGACGGGGAGGUUUGGCACCUCGAUGUCGGCUCAUCGCAUCCUGGGGCUGUAUUCGGUCCCAAGGGUUUGGCUGUUCGCCAAUUAAAGCGGCACGCGAGCUGGGUUCAGAACGUCGUGAGACAGUUCGGUCCCUAUCCAUCGUGGGCGUAGGAGUCAUGAGAGGAGCUGUUCCUAGUACGAGAGGACCGGAAUGGACGCACCACUGGUGCAACUGUUGUCGUGCCAACGGCAUAGCAGGGAAGCGAAGUGCGGAUGGGAUAAACGCUGAAGGCAUCUAAGCGUGAAGCCCACCUCAAGAAUAAGACUCCACAAUAGACCCCUGGAGGACUACCAGGUAGAUAGGUCAUCGGUGGAAGCGCUGUAAGGCGUGU
This 2220-nucleotide ribosomal RNA is filed under the name human gut metagenome. RNAcentral describes it as "bacterial LSU rRNA". It matches the Rfam family "Bacterial large subunit ribosomal RNA", at positions 643 to 2888 of the family's 2925-position model. The record is from RNAcentral.